RNAcentral lists this ribosomal RNA (1369 nucleotides) under uncultured bacterium. RNAcentral describes it as "bacterial SSU rRNA". It matches the Rfam family "Bacterial small subunit ribosomal RNA", at positions 28 to 1381 of the family's 1533-position model. The record is from RNAcentral.
GACGAACGCUGGCGGCGUGCCUAAUACAUGCAAGUAGAACGCUGAAGAGAGGAGCUUGCUCUUCUUGGAUGAGUUGCGAACGGGUGAGUAACGCGUAGGUAACCUGCCUUGUAGCGGGGGAUAACUAUUGGAAACGAUAGCUAAUACCGCAUAACAAUGGAUGACACAUGUCAUUUAUUUGAAAGGGGCAAUUGCUCCACUACAAGAUGGACCUGCGUUGUAUUAGCUAGUAGGUGAGGUAACGGCUCACCUAGGCGACGAUACAUAGCCGACCUGAGAGGGUGAUCGGCCACACUGGGACUGAGACACGGCCCAGACUCCUACGGGAGGCAGCAGUAGGGAAUCUUCGGCAAUGGGGGCAACCCUGACCGAGCAACGCCGCGUGAGUGAAGAAGGUUUUCGGAUCGUAAAGCUCUGUUGUAAGUCAAGAACGAGUGUGAGAGUGGAAAAUUCACACUGUGACGGUAGCUUACCAGAAAGGGACGGCUAACUACGUGCCAGCAGCCGCGGUAAUACGUAGGUCCCGAGCGUUGUCCGGAUUUAUUGGGCGUAAAGCGAGCGCAGGCGGUUUGAUAAGUCUGAAGUUAAAGGCUGUGGCUCAACCAUAGUUCGCUUUGGAAACUGUCAAACUUGAGUGCAGAAGGGGAGAGUGGAAUUCCAUGUGUAGCGGUGAAAUGCGUAGAUAUAUGGAGGAACACCGGUGGCGAAAGCGGCUCUCUGGUCUGUAACUGACGCUGAGGCUCGAAAGCGUGGGGAGCGAACAGGAUUAGAUACCCUGGUAGUCCACGCCGUAAACGAUGAGUGCUAGGUGUUGGAUCCUUUCCGGGAUUCAGUGCCGCAGCUAACGCAUUAAGCACUCCGCCUGGGGAGUACGACCGCAAGGUUGAAACUCAAAGGAAUUGACGGGGGCCCGCACAAGCGGUGGAGCAUGUGGUUUAAUUCGAAGCAACGCGAAGAACCUUACCAGGUCUUGACAUCCCGAUGCUAUUUCUAGAGAUAGAAAGUUACUUCGGUACAUCGGUGACAGGUAGUGCAUGGUUGUCGUCAGCUCGUGUCGUGAGAUGUUGGGUUAAGUCCCGCAACGAGCGCAACCCCUAUUGUUAGUUGCCAUCAUUCAGUUGGGCACUCUAGCGAGACUGCCGGUAAUAAACCGGAGGAAGGUGGGGAUGACGUCAAAUCAUCAUGCCCCUUAUGACCUGGGCUACACACGUGCUACAAUGGUUGGUACAACGAGUUGCGAGUCGGUGACGGCAAGCUAAUCUCUUAAAGCCAACCUCAGUUCGGAUUGUAGGCUGCAACUCGCCUACAUGAAGUCGGAAUCGCUAGUAAUCGCGGAUCAGCACGCCGCGGUGAAUACGUUCCCGGGCCU